GGUGGUGAGCAGAGAUGUGACACAACCAUCUUUUCUUCAGUGUCCCUGGGAGUAUAGGUGGGUCCCUGAGGCGGGCUUCCAGUAAAGAGAGGGUGUGUCUGAGAGAAGAGGGCAGAAGCAGUUUCCCAGAACUGAGCACUGUUUACGUGAACGACCUGCUUUCUAGGAACCCCUACAUCCAGCUGAGUCACUUCUACAGCUGCAAAGUUAACGACAUCUAGCGUGAUGCUUAUUCUAAAGUAUUACUCAGUUCCCACAUUCACAGAAUCAGAGGGACGGCAAGGAAGAAAAAAGAUGAACAGGUUUGGUAGAAGGUAAGUCGCUAUGACUAUAAACAUGAAACUUCCCCAUUAAAACGAUUCUGAGUUAGGAUGAUAACAGCCCUAAGGAAAAAGGAUUGUGAA
Delphinapterus leucas (beluga whale) is the source of this 404-nucleotide non-coding RNA. NCBI's taxonomy places the organism in Eukaryota, Metazoa, Chordata, Mammalia, Artiodactyla, Monodontidae. The record is from RefSeq and is a predicted model, not a curated record.